This is a small nuclear RNA of Cricetulus griseus (Chinese hamster), 143 nucleotides long. Its record names the gene U1. It matches the Rfam family "U1 spliceosomal RNA". From Rfam's summary of the family: U1 is a small nuclear RNA (snRNA) component of the spliceosome (involved in pre-mRNA splicing). Lineage: Eukaryota; Metazoa; Chordata; Mammalia; Rodentia; Cricetidae. The record is from Ensembl.
AUCCUUACCUGAUAGGGGAAAUGCCAUGAUCACAGGCCAUUUUCCCAGGAUGUGUUAACUUUUAUGAAUUUCCCCAAAUGUUAGAAACUUGACUGCAUAAUUUGUGGUAGUUGAGACUUUGGCCAUGUAUGUAAAGUUCUUGC